UACGUAGGUCCCGAGCGUUGUCCGGAUUUAUUGGGCGUAAAGCGAGCGCAGGUGGUUUACUAAGUCUGAUGUGAAAGCCUUCGGCUUAACCGGAGUAGUGCAUUGGAAACUGGGAGACUUGAGUGCAGAAGAGGAGAGUGGAACUCCAUGUGUAGCGGUGAAAUGCGUAGAUAUAUGGAAGAACACCAGUGGCGAAAGCGGCUCUCUGGUCUGUAACUGACGCUGAGGUUCGAAAGCGUGGGUAGCAAACAGG
Molecule: ribosomal RNA, 253 nt
Filed under: uncultured bacterium
Lineage: Bacteria
Description: partial 16S ribosomal RNA
Rfam family: Bacterial small subunit ribosomal RNA
Source: RNAcentral